CAUUAGAUAUAGUGUAGUUAACGAGUACUAGAUGGCGUCAAGUUUGAAAUUAUGCGCGGGAUUGUGCUGUGAAUCUGAAAUCUGAAUGAAUUGAGAUUGGCUUGAAAUUGAAUGACAGUCUCUCCUAGCCUGAUAUUCGAGCAACCCAUCGCAACCGAUCUUCCAGUUUCGACACUCGGAUGACUUCAGCCGACCAAUCUCUUUCUUUCUUUUACCUUUCCUGUGACGUCGCACGUGUACGUUCAUGUGAAUGUGAGUGUAUUCACGAGGGCGUCACUUAUUCCUUUCCCCUUUCCCAACCUGAGGUCACCAGAAGGUCUACCAGUCAGUCACAAGUCUAAUCAACUCUCAACCAACUGGCAACUUAAGAUCCGACAAGUGCGAAAAAUCGUUGAGCACAUGACGUAC
Daphnia pulicaria is the source of this 408-nucleotide long non-coding RNA. RefSeq lists it as uncharacterized. The transcript is spliced from 3 exons. Lineage: Eukaryota; Metazoa; Arthropoda; Branchiopoda; Diplostraca; Daphniidae. The record is from RefSeq and is a predicted model, not a curated record.